This 449-nucleotide ribosomal RNA is filed under the name Clostridioides difficile. RNAcentral describes it as "bacterial SSU rRNA". It matches the Rfam family "Bacterial small subunit ribosomal RNA", at positions 1 to 457 of the family's 1533-position model. The record is from RNAcentral. Lineage: Bacteria; Bacillati; Bacillota; Clostridia; Peptostreptococcales; Peptostreptococcaceae.
UUUUAUUUGAGAGUUUGAUCCUGGCUCAGGAUGAACGCUGGCGGCGUGCCUAACACAUGCAAGUUGAGCGAUUUACUUCGGUAAAGAGCGGCGGACGGGUGAGUAACGCGUGGGUAACCUACCCUGUACACACGGAUAACAUACCGAAAGGUAUGCUAAUACGGGAUAAUAUAUUUGAGAGGCAUCUCUUGAAUAUCAAAGGUGAGCCAGUACAGGAUGGACCCGCGUCUGAUUAGCUAGUUGGUAAGGUAACGGCUUACCAAGGCGACGAUCAGUAGCCGACCUGAGAGGGUGAUCGGCCACAUUGGAACUGAGACACGGUCCAAACUCCUACGGGAGGCAGCAGUGGGGAAUAUUGCCCAAUGGGCGAAAGCCUGAUGCAGCAACGCCGCGUGAGUGAUGAAGGCCUUCGGGUCGUAAAACUCUGUCCUCAAGGAAGAUAAUGACGG